GUAAAUAUAGUUUAUCAAAAACACUAGACUGUGACUCUAGAGAUAGAAGUUAUUAUCUUCUUAUUUACC
Molecule: transfer RNA, 69 nt
Filed under: Hellenolacerta graeca
Lineage: Eukaryota; Metazoa; Chordata; Lepidosauria; Squamata; Lacertidae
Description: tRNA-His
Rfam family: tRNA
About the family: Transfer RNA (tRNA) molecules are approximately 80 nucleotides in length. Their secondary structure includes four short double-helical elements and three loops (D, anti-codon, and T loops). Further hydrogen bonds mediate the characteristic L-shaped molecular structure. tRNAs have two regions of fundamental functional importance: the anti-codon, which is responsible for specific mRNA codon recognition, and the 3' end, to which the tRNAs corresponding amino acid is attached (by aminoacyl-tRNA synthetases). tRNAs cope with the degeneracy of the genetic code in two manners: having more than one tRNA (with a specific anti-codon) for a particular amino acid; and 'wobble' base-pairing, i.e. permitting non-standard base-pairing at the 3rd anti-codon position.
Source: RNAcentral